RNAcentral lists this ribosomal RNA (1444 nucleotides) under uncultured organism. RNAcentral describes it as "partial small subunit ribosomal RNA". It matches the Rfam family "Bacterial small subunit ribosomal RNA". The record is from RNAcentral.
GGCGGCGUGCUUAACACAUGCAAGUCGAACGGAAAGGCCCUGCUUUUGUGGGGUGCUCGAGUGGCGAACGGGUGAGUAACACGUGAGUAACCUGCCCUUGACUUUGGGAUAACUUCAGGAAACUGGGGCUAAUACCGGAUAGGAGCUCCUGCUGCAUGGUGGGGGUUGGAAAGUUUCGGCGGUUGGGGAUGGACUCGCGGCUUAUCAGCUUGUUGGUGGGGUAGUGGCUUACCAAGGCUUUGACGGGUAGCCGGCCUGAGAGGGUGACCGGCCACAUUGGGACUGAGAUACGGCCCAGACUCCUACGGGAGGCAGCAGUGGGGAAUAUUGCACAAUGGGCGGAAGCCUGAUGCAGCAACGCCGCGUGCGGGAUGACGGCCUUCGGGUUGUAAACCGCUUUCGCCUGUGACGAAGCGUGAGUGACGGUAAUGGGUAAAGAAGCACCGGCUAACUACGUGCCAGCAGCCGCGGUGAUACGUAGGGUGCGAGCGUUGUCCGGGUUUAUUGGGCGUAAAGGGCUCGUAGGUGGUUGAUCGCGUCGGAAGUGUAAUCUUGGGGCUUAACCCUGAGCGUGCUUUCGAUACGGGUUGACUUGAGGAAGGUAGGGGAGAAUGGAAUUCCUGGUGGAGCGGUGGAAUGCGCAGAUAUCAGGAGGAACACCAGUGGCGAAGGCGGUUUCUCUGGGCCUUUCCUGACGCUGAGGAGCGAAAGCGUGGGGAGCGAACAGGCUUAGAUACCCUGGUAGUCCACGCUGUAAACGGUGGGUACUAGGUGUGGGGUCCAUUCCACGGGUUCCGUGCCGUAGCUAACGCUUUAAGUACCCCGCCUGGGGAGUACGGCCGCAAGGCUAAAACUUAAAGGAAUUGACGGGGCCCCGCACAAGCGGCGGAGCAUGCGGAUUAAUUCGAUGCAACGCGUAGAACCUUACCUGGGUUUGACAUGGAUCGGGAGUGCUCAGAGAUGGGUGUGCCUCUUUUGGGGUCGGUUCACAGGUGGUGCAUGGCUGUCGUCAGCUCGUGUCGUGAGAUGUUGGGUUAAGUCCCGCAACGAGCGCAACCCUUGUUCACUGUUGCCAGCACGUUAUGGUGGGGACUCAGUGGAGACCGCCGGGGUCAACUCGGAGGAAGGUGGGGAUGACGUCAAGUCAUCAUGCCCCUUAUGUCCAGGGCUUCACGCAUGCUACAAUGGCUGGUACAGAGAGUGGCGAGCCUGUGAGGGUGAGCGAAUCUCGGAAAGCCGGUCUCAGUUCGGAUUGGGGUCUGCAACUCGACCUCAUGAAGUCGGAGUCGCUAGUAAUCGCAGAUCAGCAACGCUGCGGUGAAUACGUUCCCGGGGCUUGUACACACCGCCCGUCAAGUCAUGAAAGUUGGUAACACCCGAAGCCGGUGGCCUAACCGUUGUGGGGGAGCCGUCGAAGGUGGGACUGGUGAUUAGGACUAAGUCA